Long non-coding RNA from Drosophila persimilis, 527 nucleotides. RefSeq lists it as uncharacterized. NCBI's taxonomy places the organism in Eukaryota, Metazoa, Arthropoda, Insecta, Diptera, Drosophilidae. The record is from RefSeq and is a predicted model, not a curated record. The transcript is spliced from 4 exons.
UAGUUAGUGAUAAGAUACAACAUAUUAAUACUUCUCCAAGAAACACAAGGCAUAAUAAUACUUCUCAAAGAUACACAUCUAUUGAUUGUUUAACAAGAGCCGCCAGCAUAGAGUCCACAUUCAUAAAUACCCGUCCAAAAACAAACCACAAAACAUACAUAUAAAACUACAAACAUACUUCAGUUUUCCGCUUUUCUACACAAACCUACAUAAAUACGGGCACUCUACGUCCAUAUUCAUAAAUACCUGGCAAAAUACCUGUGGUGGUACAAUGUGGUACAACACGGCUUCUUCGGAUAGUUUUUUUACACACCCCUACAUAAAUACGGGCAAUCUGAGGGAUCUGAGGGCUCCGAGGGCUCCGAGAAGACUCGCAAGUAGAACCAAUACUUUGUUCUGACACUGAUUCGGCUAUCGGAAAAUAUAGACUGUGUUCAUCGGGUACAAGAUCUGAUGUGUGACUGGAUAAAAAUAUAUUUUGUUACUAAUAAUUAUAUUACUCGUGAUUAUAUUUUGAUACUAAAGUA